Molecule: ribosomal RNA, 497 nt
Filed under: uncultured bacterium
Lineage: Bacteria
Description: partial 16S ribosomal RNA
Rfam family: Bacterial small subunit ribosomal RNA
Source: RNAcentral
GAUGAACGCUGGCGGCGUGCCUAAUACAUGCAAGUCGAGCGAACAGAUAAGGAGCUUGCUCCUUUGACGUUAGCGGCGGACGGGUGAGUAACACGUGGAUAACCUACCUAUAAGACUGGGAUAACUUCGGGAAACCGGAGCUAAUACCGGAUAACAUAUUGAACCGCAUGGUUCAGUAGUGAAAGGCGGCUUUGCUGUCACUUAUAGAUGGAUCCGCGCCGUAUUAGCUAGUUGGUAAGGUAACGGCUUACCAAGGCAACGAUACGUAGCCGACCUGAGAGGGUGAUCGGCCACACUGGAACUGAGACACGGUCCAGACUCCUACGGGAGGCAGCAGUCGGGAAUCUUCCGCAAUGGGCGAAAGCCUGACGCAGCAACGCCGCGUGAGUGAUGAAGGUCUUCGGAUCGUAAAACUCUGUUAUCAGGGAAGAACAAAUGUGUAAGUAACUGUGCACAUCUUGACGGUACCUGAUCAGAAAGCCCCGGCUAACUACGUG